CCUACGGGUGACUGCAGUGAGGAAUAUUGGUCAAUGGACGAGAGUCUGAACCAGCCAAGUAGCGUGAAGGAUGACUGCCCUCUGGGUUGUAAACUUCUUUUAUAUGGGAAUAAACUGUUCCACGUGUGGCCUUUUGUAUGUACCAUACGAAUAAGGAUCGGCUAACUCCGUGCCAGCAGCCGCGGUAAUGCGGAGGAUACGAGCGUUAUCCGGAUUUAUUGGGUUUAACGGGAGCGUAGGUGGAUUGUUAAGUCAGUUGUGAAAGUUUGCGGCGCAACCGUAAAAUUGCAGUUGAAACUGGCAGUCUUGAGUACAGUAGAGGUGGGCGGAAUUCGAGGUGUAGCGGUGAAAUGCGUAGAGAUCACGAAGAACUCCGAUGGCGAAGGCAGCUCACUGGAC
This 399-nucleotide ribosomal RNA is filed under the name uncultured bacterium. Its description in RNAcentral is "partial 16S ribosomal RNA". It matches the Rfam family "Bacterial small subunit ribosomal RNA", at positions 338 to 734 of the family's 1533-position model. The record is from RNAcentral.